AAUGCAGUCGAACGAUGAUGCCCAGCUUGCUGGGUGGAUUAGUGGCGAACGGGUGAGUAACACGUGAGUAACCUGCCCCUGACUCUGGGAUAAGCGUUGGAAACGACGUCUAAUACUGGAUAUGAUCACUGGCCGCAUGGUCUGGUGGUGGAAAGAUUUUUUGGUUGGGGAUGGACUCGCGGCCUAUCAGCUUGUUGGUGAGGUAAUGGCUCACCAAGGCGACGACGGGUAGCCGGCCUGAGAGGGUGACCGGCCACACUGGGACUGAGACACGGCCCAGACUCCUACGGGAGGCAGCAGUGGGGAAUAUUGCACAAUGGGCGAAAGCCUGAUGCAGCAACGCCGCGUGAGGGAUGACGGCCUUCGGGUUGUAAACCUCUUUUAGUAGGGAAGAAGCGAAAGUGACGGUACCUGCAGAAAAAGCACCGGCUAACUACGUGCCAGCAGCCGCGGUAAUACGUAGGGUGCAAGCGUUGUCCGGAAUUAUUGGGCGUAAAGAGCUCGUAGGCGGUUUGUCGCGUCUGCUGUGAAAUCCCGAGGCUCAACCUCGGGCUUGCAGUGGGUACGGGCAGACUAGAGUGCGGUAGGGGAGAUUGGAAUUCCUGGUGUAGCGGUGGAAUGCGCAGAUAUCAGGAGGAACACCGAUGGCGAAGGCAGAUCUCUGGGCCGUAACUGACGCUGAGGAGCGAAAGCAUGGGGAGCGAACAGGAUUAGAUACCCUGGUAGUCCAUGCCGUAAACGUUGGGCGCUAGAUGUAGGGACCUUUCCACGGUUUCUGUGUCGUAGCUAACGCAUUAAGCGCCCCGCCUGGGGAGUACGGCCGCAAGGCUAAAACUCAAAGGAAUUGACGGGGGCCCGCACAAGCGGCGGAGCAUGCGGAUUAAUUCGAUGCAACGCGAAGAACCUUACCAAGGCUUGACAUACACCGGAAACGGCCAGAGAUGGUCGCCCCCUUGUGGUCGGUGUACAGGUGGUGCAUGGUUGUCGUCAGCUCGUGUCGUGAGAUGUUGGGUUAAGUCCCGCAACGAGCGCAACCCUCGUUCUAUGUUGCCAGCGGGUUAUGCCGGGGACUCAUAGGAGACUGCCGGGGUCAACUCGGAGGAAGGUGGGGAUGACGUCAAAUCAUCAUGCCCCUUAUGUCUUGGGCUUCACGCAUGCUACAAUGGCCGGUACAAAGGGCUGCGAUACCGUAAGGUGGAGCGAAUCCCAAAAAGCCGGUCUCAGUUCGGAUUGAGGUCUGCAACUCGACCUCAUGAAGUCGGAGUCGCUAGUAAUCGCAGAUCAGCAACGCUGCGGUGAAUACGUUCCCGGGCCUUGUACACACCGCCCGUCAAGUCAUGAAAGUCGGUAACACCCGAAGCCGGUGGCCUAACUCGUA
This 1378-nucleotide ribosomal RNA is filed under the name Curtobacterium flaccumfaciens. RNAcentral describes it as "bacterial SSU rRNA". It matches the Rfam family "Bacterial small subunit ribosomal RNA". Lineage: Bacteria; Bacillati; Actinomycetota; Actinomycetes; Micrococcales; Microbacteriaceae. The record is from RNAcentral.